RNAcentral lists this ribosomal RNA (375 nucleotides) under uncultured bacterium. RNAcentral's name for it is "bacterial SSU rRNA". It matches the Rfam family "Bacterial small subunit ribosomal RNA", at positions 29 to 395 of the family's 1533-position model. The record is from RNAcentral.
AACGAACGCUGGCGGCGCGCCUAACACAUGCAAGUCGAACGAGAAGGCGUAGCAAUACGCUUGUAAAGUGGCGAACGGGUGAGGAAUACGUGGGUAACCUACCCUCGAGUGGGGAAUAACCAACCGAAAGGUUGGCUAAUGCCGCGUACGCUUCCAUCUCUUCGGAGGUGGAAGGAAAGCUGUACCGUGGGUACAGCGCUCAAGGAUGGGCUCACGUCCUAUCAGCUUGUUGGUAGGGUAACGGCCACCAAGGCAACGACGGGUAGCUGGUCUGAGAGGACGAUCAGCCACACUGGCACUGCGACACGGGCCAGACUCCUACGGGAGGCAGCAGUGAGGAAUAUUGCGCAAUGGGCGAAAGCCUGACGCAGCGAC